Carya illinoinensis is the source of this 1575-nucleotide RNA transcript. It is a transcript of the gene named pyruvate dehydrogenase (acetyl-transferring) kinase, mitochondrial-like, with no coding region annotated. The transcript is spliced from 6 exons. NCBI's taxonomy places the organism in Eukaryota, Viridiplantae, Streptophyta, Magnoliopsida, Fagales, Juglandaceae. The record is from RefSeq and is a predicted model, not a curated record.
GAGGACCUAACCAUGGUUUGUUCUUAAGCCCUUAAGCCCAACUCGCGUCUCUCUCUUUGCUGUUUGCAUUACCAAAAAGAAUUCAAUCGACUUUUUUAUCUCUCCAUCCGUAAAAUCCAGAAAGAAGAAAGUGAGAUAGGGGGUAGAAAAAAGUCGUUCUGCGCCCACGAUAUAAAUCCCUAUGCCGGUUCCACAUUGUGUGCUUCGCUUGCAUGUUGUUUGUAUUCUUGGUAUCAAAUUGCGGUACUCGCUUCUGGGUCGUGUUGGCGAGGCAUGGCGGUCAAGAAACUGUGUGAGUCUUUCUCCAAGGGCUUUGUCGAGGAGGUGCAACGAUGGGGGUGUAUGAAGCAGACUGGGGUGAGCUUGAGGUACAUGAUGGAAUUUGGGUCCGAUCCCAGCCACAGAAAUUUGCUAAUUUCCGCUCAGUUCCUUCACAAGGAGCUCCCCAUUAGAAUUGCCAGGAGGGCCAUCGAGCUCGAAAGCCUGCCUUAUGGCUUAUCUGAAAAACCUGCCGUUUUGAAGGUUCGAGAUUGGUAUUUUGAUUCUUAUCGCGACCUCAGAUCCUUUCCCGAGAUCAAGGACACAAAUGAUGAGAAGGAAUUUACUCAAAUGAUUAAGGCAAUCAAGGUGAGACACAACAAUGUGGUCCCUAUGAUGGCUUUGGGGGUUCAACAGUUGAAGAAAGGCAUGGAUCCGAAGAUCGUCCAUGAGGAUCUUGAUGAGAUUGAUCAGUUUCUAGAUCGCUUUUACCUGUCAAGAAUAGGGAUUCGCAUGCUUAUUGGGCAACAUGUGGAGUUGCACAAUCCUAAUCCCCCUCCUCAUUGUGUGGGUUAUAUACAUACAAAAAUGUCUCCAUUGGAGGUUGCACGAACUGCCAGUGAAGAUGCCCGUGCUAUUUGUUUGCGCGAGUAUGGCAGUGCCCCCAAUGUUAAUAUAUAUGGGGAUCCCAUUUUUACAUUUCCGUAUGUUCCAACACACUUGCAUCUUAUGGUGUUUGAGUUGGUCAAGAACUCCUUGCGUGCUGUCCAAGAGCGUUUCAUGGACUCGGACGAAGUUGCACCUCCUAUUAGAAUAAUAGUGGCUGGUGGUGUAGAAGAUGUUGCUAUCAAGAAGAAAUGGUCAAUAAAUUGUUCUGGCUGGCAUAAUAGGUAUCAGAUGAAGGGGGUGGCAUACCAAGAAGUGGGCUCUCCAAAAUUUUCACAUAUCUUUACAGCACUGCAAAAAACCCAAUGGAUGAGGACUCAUAUCAUGGUACUGCUGAUGCAGUGACAAUGGCUGGAUAUGGAUAUGGACUUCCAAUAAGUCGCCUGUAUGCUCGGUAUUUUGGAGGAGAUCUCCAAAUUAUCUCAAUGGAAGGAUAUGGGACUGAUGCAUAUCUCCAUCUCUCUCGCUUGGGAGAUUCACAAGAGCCAUUGCCAUGAACUUAAGCUUCAGUUCAAAAAAGUCAACAACACACUGCAGUUAUCAUGAUAACUCAUGGAAAUAUAAAAUAAUACAACGAGGGCAAAUGUUUGGAUGUAAAAGAGACGGAUUACUGUAAAUUUUCAAGCCUAAUAAAUUGGCAGUUGCGUAUUA